GUGUAUUGGUAUUUUAGAUGGGGGACGGGUCAUCAAAGAUAAAUUGGUAACACCUUUUCUUUUGACUCGUUCUUUUCAUCGGAGACGCUGUCCGUGAAGGUUUGGUGCAGUCCUACAGGAAACUCUCUCACCUGACAUUUUUCGGCUCAUCAAUGGUUUUCAUGGACGGUUUGAUGAUUGAGCUAUUUUGCUGUGGCUGUUUGGGGUGCAGUGGUUCUCCAGUAGAGAUGCGUUGGAAUGGAGCUUGUGCAGACUUGUUGUUUAAUGUAAUCGUAUUGGCUUCAGAGUGUGUCCACCAGGGGGCAAGUUCCUGGUUUUAGCUAAUUGGCAACAUGGCAAGCUUAUGCCGCUGACGUCAUUUCUAUUACGGAUGCUAUGAUGUCAGUUACUGUGUUCGUGGUCAGUCAACUUUAACAUUGUUCUUCACAAAUAUUCUCUUGGAUUAAAGGAUUGGUGAAGUUGAGCUUUUUCAAGGCAGUCCACUUCGUUUGAUUUGUUGCGGCCAGCUGGUUAACGGUGUGGUGAGCUGUUGUAUUAAGACCGUGUGCUGUUGUGAAGAGCUUCUGCAUGCAGUCUGUGGUGCUGCUGGGGGAAGUGUUGCAUGCUGUCAAUGGAGUGUAGUGCCAGCUUUAAAUUUAAUGAACUCACUGCUGUAACAAUUGAGUGUUUCUGAAGUCAGUUUGAGUUUAUUUUGGUGGCUUUAUUUGGUCUGCAGUUCAUGUUCGCGUGGUUUUGUUGCAGCCGGUUGUUGAAAUGGAGUUCCAUGUCAAAUUGAGCUGCAGGUUUUGGAAGCUAUCUACCUUGCUGGUGUCAUCCUGAAGUGGAACAGAAAUGCAGUCGUCUUGGCAUCUUGCAAUGGACUCAUGACGAUCUGAUGUAACUGCCUUGGUGAUAAUGAUGAUCAACCUGCUGUAUGUAAUCCAUGCUGCUGGUGUUCUCCAGAAAUAUUGAAGCAAGACUUGAAACAAAACUGCAGGAAUAUUUGUAGGAAUGGAUUUUGAAAAUGUUCAGCGGUUUCGUACGCCAUCUGUUCAAGAUUUUAUCCUGAAUUGCGCUGAAGUCCUUGCAGUAACGGAUUCCGGUACCAUCCUGAUGUUGCAGUGCCGAUGAAAUAUGAGUUGAUAAAAUUUAUCUGUAUUUGUGUUACAUCAUCUUUAUGUGGUAGAAGAUAUUGAUGAUUUUUACUUUUCAGAAUGAUGUGUUGCAACAAAAGUUAUAACUGUGGUAAUCCUAGAUGAUGUAACCACCUCAACCCUGAUUAGGUCGUAACUUAUUGUUUGUGUAUCAAAAUCAAACCUGCUAUUUUUGUUUUACUUGUAAACUUAAUA
Molecule: long non-coding RNA, 1328 nt
Filed under: Daphnia pulex (common water flea)
Lineage: Eukaryota; Metazoa; Arthropoda; Branchiopoda; Diplostraca; Daphniidae
Description: uncharacterized LOC124194561, transcript variant X13
Source: RNAcentral